UACGGAAGGUGCAAGCGUUGUUCGGAAUGACUGGGCGUAAAGCGCACGUAGGUGGGCUUGUAAGUCGGAUGUGAAAGCCCCAGGCUCAACCUGGGAAUGGCACCCGAAACUACAAGUCUUGAAUGCCUGAGAGGUUGGUGGAAUUCCAGGUGUAGGAGUGAAAUCCGUAGAUAUCUGGAGGAACACCGGAGGCGAAGGCGGCCAACUGGUGGUGCAUUGACACUGAGGUGCGAAAGCGUGGGGAGCAAACAGG
This 253-nucleotide ribosomal RNA is filed under the name uncultured prokaryote. RNAcentral describes it as "partial 16S ribosomal RNA". It matches the Rfam family "Bacterial small subunit ribosomal RNA", at positions 524 to 776 of the family's 1533-position model. The record is from RNAcentral.